CCCAAAAGUUCUCUGAGGAUAACAAAGGUUACAGCCAUCGACAGAAAUCUCUCAGACACUGAGACUUCAGAGCAUGGGGUCGGCCUGUGGUCACCGUGGAUCCUGGCCAUGAGACAGGGCAGGGCUGUAGAUGACAUGGACACCCGGGAGAAGCUGGGACAGGGAAUUGCUCGCCGUGUAGUACCUACAGUGACGCUCUACAAUGGAUACGAGGAUCACCAUGUCUAACUUGCCUGCCUUUGGCGUUGUGUCUGGCUGUGAGGCAGAGGAUGGGGCAGCUGAGACCAGGGGAGAAGCUGCGGCUGUGGGCGAAGGCUCGGGGGGGAUACCACCGCCUGGAGGAACGCUCAGGGCAACGGCAAGCCAGGCCAAUUUUGAGGAAGACGGCCAGAAGCAACCCGCUGUAGGACACUGGAAGACACUAAUGCCAUCCAAAGGCAGCAAGGAGGAGCCAGAGACAGGAUGCCAGGAUGCUGGAGGUGCGGAUGAGACCCAGUCCACUGAGCAGCUCAACGUGUCACGUCUACGCAGCUCUUCAGUGGAGAUCCGUGAAAAGGGGUCUGAAUUCCUGAAGGAAGAGCUACACAAAGCACAAAAGGAGCUGAAGCUGAAGGACAAAGAAUGUGAGAGAUUGUCAAAAGUCAGAGAACAACUGGAGCAGGAACUAGAGGAGUUAACAGCUAGCCUAUUUGAGGAAGCGCACAAGAUGGUGAGAGAAGCAAACACUAAACAGGCGGCGUCAGAGAAACAGCUGAGGGAGGCACGGGGGAAGAUCGACAUGCUGCAGGCAGAGGUAACAGCUCUGAAGACGCUGGUGAUCACAUCCACACCUUCCUCUCCAAACCGGGAGCUGCACCCUCAGCUCCAGAGCCCUUCUAAAGCUGUCUUCAGGAAGGGCCAUGGCCGAAACAAGAGCACCAGCAGCGCAAUGGUCUCAGCUGCCAGCCAGAAUGUGACUCCAGAGCCAGUCAGUCAUGAGCGCAAAGAGUCUGGGUUACCCGCUCUCCUCUCUCUGCUCCUUUGUAUCAUCCCUGGGAAGGCUAUCCACAUCACCUAUGAACCAGGCUGGCAGGCCUUGGGGGCAGAUGCUUCCUCAUCCUUGCGGCAGGUCGACUCCAUUUUAUUUGCUGAGUUCCAGGCCUGGAAGGAAUCUCCAACUUUGGAUAAAUCGUGCUCCUUCCUGGACAGAAUUUAUCGAGAAGAUGUAGGACCUUGUCUGGACUUCACAAAGCAGGAGCUGUCGGAGCUGGUGCGAGUGGCUGUGGAGCAGAACACACUCACCAUUGAGCCAGUUGCUUCCCAGACGCUGCCUGUGGUGAAGGUGUCAGCAGAAGAGUGUGGUGGGCCAAAUGGGUUCCGGUCACAAAUUGUAACGAAAUGUGCUUUGAGUGGCCUCCCCAGGACCUGCAAGCACCGCAUCAUGCUGGGGGAUUCUGGGAGUUACUACUACAUUUCACCAUCCUGCAGGGCCAGGAUCACAGCGGUGUGCAACUUUUUCACAUACAUUCGCUACAUCCAGCAGGGCUUGGUGAGGCAGGACGUGGAGCUGAUGUACUGGGAGGUGAUGCGGCUCCGGAGGGAGAUGUCUCUGGCCAAGCUUGGGUUUUAUCCCAGUGAGAUGUAAGCAGAAGCCUGAGCAUGGAAGGAAACUGCUCCUGUAGGAACGGCUUGUCAAACGUAGUCUACCAAACAGAUGAACGCGGUGCCUCUCCUGCAGUGGGCCUUACUCCCUCCCUACCCUCCCUCUUCCUGAAGCUGAUCAAGGAGCAAGAAGCACAAGUUCCACCUUCAGCUGUCCCACUUCUCCAACUGUGACUGGAAUGCAGCUUCCAAGCUACCCCCUCAGAGCCGGGCUGGCCCUGGCUGCUUUGGGGUGGCCGUCUACAGACUGUCCUCUAUGGAGUCUCCUAUAUGCAGUGUAUAUCCAUUUUUUUUUUAAAAAAACUUUUGUUUUUAUAUGCAGUCUGCUUUGGCAUAGUCUGAGGCCAGGCCUGUGCAAGGCAGGAGUCCUGGACCUUCUUUGUAAGCAAGUCUUUCGGGACAGAUGCUGGCUGUCUGUCCAUCUGUUCCACUUCUCCUUUGGAGUGGAGGGUGCUGUGCCCAGCCGUACACCUAGGUCCUGCUGACCAUUGCUCCUCUGACGGCCCUGUAAAUGCCAGCAGCACACAAUAAUCUUGUGGAGAGCCAUGAACAGCCUGUUUCCAAGUACUUCCUUGCUCCUUUUAAAGGAGCCUGCGAGAGAAGCUUUCUGCCAGCUGCGUCACAAAGAGGGAUUUGUUUCUGGUUUUAGCUUGCGAUUUGGCACUGGGUAAUCCAGGCUGGGGGAACAGCCGGAGCAGAGGCCGGAGCUGUGCACCUGGGGCCUUCAGCAGAAGAAAGCGAGCAGGGAAGUUGCGUAACUGACAGCUGGACGCAGCUUGGCUGCAGCAUGUUUUCUCCUGGUCUAAAGAAUCUGCUGCUGUUGUCACAGGCCGAUGUGGACCGUGAUGUGUGGUGCCCUGUGACGAUCCUUGGUGCAGAAGUCAUCCACAGUGCUCUUAGAUACAAACCUUACCCACAAACAUGCCUUUGAGCUGUUCCAGCUCUGAGGGAGCUUCGGGCAGGACUGUUCCCACUGUUUAGAUAGAAACCGUGGUCCCAGGCUGAAUUCUUUAUGUCUCCUGAAGAAACCGUUGUCCCAGGCUGAAUUCUUUGUGUCUCCUGAAGGAUCAUGCCCAGGCUGGGCACAGCCUUGAGGCCCUGAGAUUUCCUCCCAGUAUUACAUCAGACCUAGAGAUGCAUGUCCACUGGGAAACCCAGCUUCUCCUGGACUCCCAUCCCCAAUAAGGAAAUUUGAGACAUCUUUGUGUGCACAUGUGAGGGACGAGGCUCCUGCAUGCCUCAAAAGGUGCUGGGAAGGGAGUUGCUAAAGCUGUUGGAAGGUGGAGGCCCACUAUAGCUUGAGCUCGGGUCCAGGCUUGUCUGUACAGAACUGGGCAAAAACCAUGACAGUGUUUUGUAGCCAAUUUAGCCUUUUUUUCAGUGAUUCUGGAAGCCACCACCCACCCUGGGUUUUUCACCUCAUGUGGCACUUCUGCACUCUUGACUGGCACGUCACCCUGCUGUCAUCGUAACUCUUAUCUUAGCAAGUUGGUGCCCGGAACCAGGUCACCAUCCUCAGCUGCAAGAAGUUUCAUCCCCUUCUGGGAGAUGCUACAGUAGGAACUCUGUACUGUCAGUGGAAGAGAACUAACUGAGCUGCUGUGGAUUUGUCCGGGGUUGUGGGGGGGCGGGGGAGGAGGAAUAGACGGGGAAGGCAAAAGUUUGGCUUGGAACCUAACACAAGGACAGCUUCACAGAAGAUCUGAGAAAACCUUCCUGUAGAAGACCCCCCUAAGCACAAGCUUUCCAGUCACUGAGCACGCUCACAGUAUGCUGCCGAGUUGCUCCUCAGGGGACUCCUUUCCGUAUAGCUAAACUGGCAUAGGGUAUUGUUUGCCAAGGGUUGGUAGCUAUUUGAAACAUGAGUUGUCAUCCCCAGAGCUGGGAGAACGUGUACCUAUGGGAGAACAAGUACACCCUGCCUAGAUGAGUACGUACAUCUCCUACUCUUCACCAAAGGAAUAUGUUUCAAACGUGGAGUGAAAGCCUGGAAAAUACAUCUUUGGGCGAGAGCCCAGCUGGGUCUUGAGCUAGCGAUAAACCUGCACCUCUUUGGUGCCCGCAGGCUUGCGGCAAUUUGACAUCAGCUUUUUCCGGAGGGGAAAAUAGAAAUGUCUGUCCCCAGCUGCAGAUUUCAGCUCAGGGAAAAGAGAAGUAUAUGGUAAACAGACUGAAGCCGUUCUUCUGGAUCUGUGAACUUUUGGACUACUAUCACUCUAUUUGCCUAUAAACCCACAUCGAAAUGGAUGUCUCCCGCAUAACCUUUAUUCAGAAUUAUGGAGCACUGCUUUUAAAUGGAAGCUUUUCUGCGACUCGCGUUCUUACCUUAAGCACACUGCGCUUGCUCGAACAAAGAAGUGGCGUAGUCAGAAUUCUGCAACAUUAUUCCUUGUGUGUCUUGCUUGCCCUUCCUGGCUAAGCUCCUGGCUUAGUGACUCCCUCCAGCUGAAUCGCUGGAUUCCUGCGGUGGCUGGGGAUGGUGGUGCUUCUGAAAACACAGACCUUCGGUAAAAAGUGACUGUGGCUUGUUAACCAACUGGUGUGCCUGGGGAUCUGAACGUCUUCCUGAAGAAGAGGAGUAACAUCUUGAUUCAGACCUUAGGGUGCUUGAAUGGUGAAAUUUCCAGGCUGCUGGAACGGUGAAAUUUCCAGGCCGCUGGAAGCGUUGCGCAGUGUUUCUUGCCACCACCGUGCUACGCAAAGGAAAAUCACGUUAACAGGACAGCGUUAGGGUUGCCACGGGGAAGUGAUUCACCUCCCGGCUUGGUUUGUAAUUCUGCAAUUCCGCAUUAUUCCCUUCAUGCUAUUUAUAACACAGUUUUCAAACAAAUGAUGAUUCUCUGUCUGGAAAUGUGAAUGAAAUAUUUGCCUUGCAAGAGGCCAGCAGCUUCACCUAAACCCUAUUCUAUAGAAACUGCAGAACAGCCAGGAGAGAGGGACAGUAUAAGUAGGAUGCCCUAUGGAAAUGUUUCUAUAUUAUAUUUGAGGAAUUCAGACAGAGAUAGAUAGAUAUAGAUAUAUAUAUAUAUUUGAGGAGAGGCUGAGGGAGCUGGGCAUGUUUAGCCUGGAGAAGAGGAGGCUGAGGAGAGACCUCAUGGCCCUCUACAACUACCUGAAAGGAGGUUGGAGAGAGGUGGGUGUUGGCCUCUUCUCCCAGGUGAGUAAUGACAGGACCAGAGGAAAUGGUCUGAAGCUGCGGCAGGGGAGGUUUAGGUUAGAUAUUAGGAAGAAUUACUUUACUGAAAGAGUGGUCAGGCACUGGGACAGCCUGCCCAGGGAGGCGGUUGAGUCACCAUCCCUAGAGGUGUUUAAGGAACGUCUAGAUGUGGCACUUCAGGGCAUGCUCUAGUGGCAGAGAUUGUAGGGGAUUUGUUUGUUGUGGGUUUUUUGGGGUUUUUGUGUGUGUGUGUGUGUAUGGUUGGACAUGAUGAUCUCAAAGGUCCUUUCCAACCAUGGAGAUUCUAUGAUUCUAUGAUUUUUUUUUUUUUUAAGCUGCCCCCCCCCCCAAAUGUAUGAUAAUAUAACAUAACCGCAGCACAAAUGCUGAACUGAAAAUUGAGUUUCUUCAGAGGCUGAAUUUGUCAUUGGCUUUUCUGAGCAGAAAUUAAAAAAACCUAUCGCAAGGAAGGAACUAUGCGACAAGGUACUUUCUUGCACUGUCUGGGUAAAAACUGUAUGUAUGAGCACCAUGGACACAUUUCUUCUCAGGUCGAUGCCACACACUAGGUAUGUUGUGAAACAUCUGGUUUCCCGAGACAUCUGGAAUUGGACCAUUGCAGAGUUAAGUGAAAUAGAUUUUUUUUUUUUUUUUUUAAAAAGCAGUAUUGUUCAUGGAUAAAGACUUCUUUAUAGACCUUGCCAAUCAUAAAUCUCUAUCCUUUAGGCCAUUAAGUGGCUUAAAAUAGAGUUGGAACCGACGAGCUCGAUGCCUGGCAUAUGAAUAUUUAACGUAAGGAUAUUAGGCGCACUUUAUGUUGAUUUCCUGCCUUAGAUUCCUUGCUAUCCUUACUAUUCCUUGCUAAGUUCAAGGGAGGAAGGGAACUGAAAAGGCGUAAUUUCAGCGAGCCCAUGGAAAGUUUAGUUUGUCACAACUUAAAGUCAGAUAAAUUAAAAAAAGGAGGGGGAAAAAAAAAAAAAAAGGCAACCACUUGUACUACUGGGUCCACAGGGACGUUGUGUUUCCCAAGUUCCCAGCUGAAGGAUGGGCUGAACUUCGGAUAAGCUGAGCCUAAGCUUGUGGGAGGUGAAACUCGGAAAACUGGCCGGUUUGCCCCAUUUCAACUAAUGCCUGUGCAUUCCCGGCAGCGGGAGAAGCCCUGUGUAAAAGCAGAGCGGGUUUUGGCGUGGCUGGAGUGUCGGCGUCUUAAUCCAGAACGUGAACCCAGAACUACCAGGUCCUUGCUCCCCUUCAAGCCUUGUUGCCUGGGGAUGCUCAGGGGUUCUGGGAAUGGUUGUGCUUUCCCAGGCAAGAAAGCCAGGGCAACAUAUCAAUUUGGAACGGUUUAUUUUCGUGUAAGAGCUCCCUGUGUUUGUACUAGGGGAAUGUGUUUAUUCUAGGAUCAAAUAAAAGUCCUAAUAAUGGGGUAAGGUAGGGUCAUUUUCUGUUUUGAGUUCUAUGACUUCUUAUAGAGAGCUUUCUGUGCAGAACGAGUUUACCUAUGAAGCAAUUAAUGUGUACUCUGGAAAACUGUGGUAUUGAUUUAAGGUAACAGAUAACCACAGACUGGCCUUUCCUGGACUAUCGUUUUGUCUCCUGACCCAGGACAGCCUAUGCGCUUCCUACUCACAGCCUCUGGACCCUCUGGUGUGCUCUUCUGUCUGGUGACAUGGUUCAAAUGGGUUUAUUUGCAAGAACUAACACUCGCACAGUUCUGUUAAAGCCCGCUGAUGGUGUUGACCCAAAGCCCGCUGAUGGUGUUGACCCAAAGCCCGCUGAUGGUGUUGACCCAAAGCCCGCUGAAACGGAUCAAGUUAUCAGUUAGCAAAGCUACAAGCCGCUUACCAUACCUCUGAAUAAGCCAUUAAUGGGCAGAAAAUUGAGUUUGAGACAACUUCUAAGGAGUUUUCACAUGAGUUUUGCUCUCAGCUGCCUCCCUAAAUGGCCUGGAGACUGAAUUUGAAUGGCCGGGCAAAUCCUUUUACAGGAAGAUCUUUUCUUUGGUGCUUGUUCCCAAGACGAGGGUAAGCAGCGCCACCGUUCCUGGGCUUUGUGAAGGGUGAUUAAAAAAAAAAAAAUCUAUCUACGCUGUAAAAGUCAAUACUAUAAAGGUAAUUUCACUAAUUUUGCCCUGUGAAGUGGAAAAAGGACUUUCCGCAAUCGCUACCUAACAGCUCCCCUGUAAAAAAAAAACAUAGGAAAAACAAAGGAAGCCAUAAUCAACAAAUCUGAUCCCAAAUCCUUUUCUAGAGCUCGCUUUGCCCAUGGUGUUCUAGUUCUUGGUCUAGGAUCUGAUUUUGAACUGAUGAGAACAGCAAUUACAAGACUAAAGCUGAAAUUCAGACGUGAAUCACCCUUUAUGCCAAACCCUACCCUGACCCUUUAAGAAUUCUGAAUUUGAACGUAUGUUCUCGAUCUCGGAGCCAGACCUGGAUGGCGACCUUCACGCCCUAGCAAUGUCCUAGCUAGCUUAGUUGGCUUCUCCACGCUACCUGCCAGUGGGUUUGCGUUGCAGAAGGUGCCCCAAAAGGAAAGAGGUCCUUUGAGCACUGCAGCUACUCUGGAUGCCACUGGAAAAAAAAACACAUAAAGCAUUUUUAUGGUCAGCAAAUUGUUACGAUUUUAUUGAGUGGUUGAAUACACAAGAAAAAAAAAAAUUGUUCUUUUCGUGUUACUGAAAUAUUUUUUU
This is an RNA transcript of Chroicocephalus ridibundus (black-headed gull), 7487 nucleotides long. It is a transcript of the gene named RAB3A interacting protein like 1, with no coding region annotated. The transcript has 14 exons. The record is from RefSeq and is a predicted model, not a curated record. NCBI's taxonomy places the organism in Eukaryota, Metazoa, Chordata, Aves, Charadriiformes, Laridae.